Molecule: ribosomal RNA, 503 nt
Filed under: uncultured Desulfobulbus sp.
Lineage: Bacteria; Pseudomonadati; Thermodesulfobacteriota; Desulfobulbia; Desulfobulbales; Desulfobulbaceae
Description: bacterial SSU rRNA
Rfam family: Bacterial small subunit ribosomal RNA
Source: RNAcentral
GCCAGCCCGCUCAGAACUCAAAGGAAUUGACGGGGCCCGCACAAGCGGUGGAGUAUGUGGUUUAAUUCGAUGCAACGCGAAGAACCUUACCUGGUCUUGACAUCCCGGAGACCCUUAGGAAACUAGGGGGUGCUUCCAUCUGGAAGAAUCUGGAGACAGGUGCUGCAUGGCUGUCGUCAGCUCGUGUCGUGAGAUGUUGGGUUAAGUCCCGCAACGAGCGCAACCCUUGCCUUUAGUUGCCAGCAGUUCGGCUGGGCACUCUAAAGGGACUGCCGGUGUUAAACCGGAGGAAGGUGGGGAUGACGUCAAGUCCUCAUGGCCUUUAUGACCAGGGCUACACACGUACUACAAUGGCCGAUACAAAGGGCAGCGACACUGCGAGGUGAAGCCAAUCCCGUAAAAUCGGUCUCAGUCCGGAUUGGAGUCUGCAACUCGACUCCAUGAAGUUGGAAUCGCUAGUAAUCGUGGAUCAGCAUGCCACGGUGAAUACGUCCCCGGGCCUU